UUCAAAAAAGACAAAUUAUAAUAGAGGAUAAGAAAAUAUAAUUCUUUUAUUCAUUCUUAUUGAUGCAAUUAUUGCAUAUAUGAGAUUGAGUUAAAUUUAAUACAUAAUGAUUGGUGUAAAUAUAAUGUAAGAGCUUUGAAGUUUUAGGGUUGAAAAUCACAGAAUGGAGCGCAUGGGACACAACAUGGAGCUCUAGGACAAGUUAUUGGUAAACAAGGUCCAUAAGAUGGACAACAAGGUGGUAAUUGUUGAAUGCCUUGAGAGUUACCAACCAAAGCACCUAUAAUAGCAAUGACUAAAACCAAUAACUUGAAUAGCAUCUUCCACAAAGUGGCCAUUACAACUAAGUUGGGUUUACAAAUAAAAACAAAUGAAAUAUCUU
Molecule: long non-coding RNA, 382 nt
Filed under: Cicer arietinum (chickpea)
Lineage: Eukaryota; Viridiplantae; Streptophyta; Magnoliopsida; Fabales; Fabaceae
Description: long non-coding RNA (CARI_LNC003344)
Source: RNAcentral